AGAGUUUGAUCCUGGCUCAGGACGAACGCUGGCGGCGUGCUUAACACAUGCAAGUCGAACGGAAAGGCCCCUUCGGGGGUACUCGAGUGGCGAACGGGUGAGUAACACGUGGGUGAUCUGCCCUGCACUUUGGGAUAAGCCUGGGAAACUGGGUCUAAUACCGAAUAGGACCGCAUGCUUCAUGGUGUGUGGUGGAAAGCUUUUGCGGUGUGGGAUGGGCCCGCGGCCUAUCAGCUUGUUGGUGGGGUAAUGGCCUACCAAGGCGACGACGGGUAACCGGCCUGAGAGGGUGUCCGGCCACACUGGGACUGAGAUACGGCCCAGACUCCUACGGGAGGCAGCAGUGGGGAAUAUUGCACAAUGGGCGCAAGCCUGAUGCAGCGACGCCGCGUGGGGGAUGACGGCCUUCGGGUUGUAAACCUCUUUCAGUAUCGGCGAAGCUCCAGGAUUUUUCUUGGGGUGACGGUAGGUACAGAAGAAGCACCGGCCAACUACGUGCCAGCAGCCGCGGUAAUACGUAGGGUGCGAGCGUUGUCCGGAAUUACUGGGCGUAAAGAGCUCGUAGGUGGUUUGUCACGUUGUCUGUGAAAACUCACAGCUUAACUGUGGGCGUGCGGGCGAUACGGGCAGACUGGAGUACUGUAGGGGAGACUGGAAUUCCUGGUGUAGCGGUGGAAUGCGCAGAUAUCAGGAGGAACACCGGUGGCGAAGGCGGGUCUCCGGGCAGUAACUGACGCUGAGGAGCGAAAGCGUGGGGAGCGAACAGGAUUAGAUACCCUGGUAGUCCAA
This 789-nucleotide ribosomal RNA is filed under the name uncultured bacterium. RNAcentral's name for it is "bacterial SSU rRNA". It matches the Rfam family "Bacterial small subunit ribosomal RNA", at positions 8 to 798 of the family's 1533-position model. The record is from RNAcentral.